UCCGCCAGAGAACUACAAGUGAAAAACUUAAAACUCAAAGGACUUGACGGUGUCCCAUAUCGACCUAGAGGAGCCUGUCCUAUAAUCGAUACUCCCCGCUCCACCCAACCUCAACUAGCAAAUAUUCCAGCCUAUAUACCGCCGUCGACAGUUUACCCUAUGAAGGCCUAACAGUAGACACAAUAGCCUUAACGCUAAUACGUCAGGUCAAGGUGUAGCAGAUGUUGAGGAAGAGAUUGGCUACAUUUUUUAUAAUAAAAAACACGAAUUGCACUAUGAAAUACUGCAUGAAGGCGAAUUUAGUAGUAAAACAGAUAAGAGUGUCUGUUUUAACAACGCUCUGGGACGCGUACACACCGCCC
This 362-nucleotide ribosomal RNA is filed under the name Podarcis muralis (Common wall lizard). Its description in RNAcentral is "partial 12S ribosomal RNA". It matches the Rfam family "Bacterial small subunit ribosomal RNA", at positions 868 to 1395 of the family's 1533-position model. The record is from RNAcentral. Lineage: Eukaryota; Metazoa; Chordata; Lepidosauria; Squamata; Lacertidae.